Dicentrarchus labrax (European seabass) is the source of this 525-nucleotide long non-coding RNA. RefSeq lists it as uncharacterized. NCBI's taxonomy places the organism in Eukaryota, Metazoa, Chordata, Actinopteri, Moronidae. The record is from RefSeq and is a predicted model, not a curated record. The transcript has 4 exons.
AAGGAGCAACAAGCAAAGAGAAAGGGAAGUAGAAACGGACUAUGUGUGUGUAAGAGCAGGAGAAAGCUGUGGGGUGGAGGGGGGGGCUUCGUGUUUUUAUAUGGAUUAAAUUCAGAUUUCACCGAGAUAAGGAACAUAGGACUGAGUGGUGCAAACUAAACUGCUGUCAAAGCAAAUAGUUCUGGGCUGAAGCCAGGUGGGAGUGUGUUUCAGGUUAAAGGAAGUGCAGCAAAAAGGCCCAAUUUGACCUUUCCAGCCUUCAUUUUUAUACCAUCCUGUACAGGAGGUAUGAGGAAUUCCGAGCACGAACGCAGCCUGUCCACCAGCUCUCUAUGCUGACACAGUGUGUCCUCCAGUGCCCUCGCUGCCUCCUAUCUCUGCUGACCCAAGGAUAAGCUCAUCGGACGACAGUGGCUCCACUACAGACUGACGGUUGGACAAAACAACCAGUGUGAAGACGUCACUGAGCAUUUUUACCUAUUUUCUGACAUUUGAAUCGAUAAUAAAAAUAAUAAUUCAUUCAAA